Molecule: long non-coding RNA, 1143 nt
Organism: Triticum aestivum (bread wheat)
Lineage: Eukaryota; Viridiplantae; Streptophyta; Magnoliopsida; Poales; Poaceae
Exons: 5
Source: RefSeq, a predicted model, not a curated record
ACGGCUCUCCUUCCUUAUAGAAAAAGGGAAAAAGAUCCUGAUCUCAGAAACGAGCCCUUCCCGGCGGCGAACGCCCCGUCUACGAUAUGAUGGGAUCUCUUCAUCGUCCAUAGCUUUCCCUUGCCUGUACAUGUCAGCCCACAGCACGACGGCUUCUACCAGCACUCCUCCAUGCCAGUAACUCGAGAUAGGAAAGGAAGGAUCCGGCACCAAUUGCCUAGAGACGAACGACCCACAGGUCAUGUGAUACAGAGCCCAGAAAAGAGCACAACUAGCAGGAUUGCAUGUGCAUAAUUGAGCAGAUUUUCCGUUGGGGAUCACUGCUGAAAUUUCCUUCACUUAUCAAUUGAGAUCAUUGCCUACACCAGGUUAGAGAAGAUUUCAUUUGAAAAUUGAUCAACCACCUGACUGGAUGGGUUGCGUACACCAGAUCAGAUCAUGGGUGGCGCGGAGUCCUACUAUCAACCUCUGAUGUUCUCAUCGCCUGUGAAUGAGGCAUGCCAGCGCACAACAGGUCUCUCCGUUAAGGAAAUCAGGUCACCGGGCAACACACGUCGCUGUCUUCGUGUACCAUGGCCAAGGUGCCAGAAUAAUGGUUUUCCCCGUAAAACUCCAUGGAGCAAUUAUAGAAGGUUAGCACCAUCAAUAGUCCUUCAUGAAACAUUGCCUCCGGCCAUGUCGAUCACCAUAAAGUUUCAGCUUCAGCGGGUUGCGGAUCGAUGAUCGCAGCCAUGUACUCACAUCUGACCAUAGAAGCACCGAGCAGCAUGCAACAUGACAUGGAGCAGGUUCUGAUUACCAUUGUACUAGGGAAAAUUAUGUUGAUUGAUGCUGCACGUUCGUAAAGCUGUCUUUUUCAGUUAUUCAUUUUUGGAAGGGCAUCGAGGAAAACCUGGAUCUAUAUACAACAUAUCAUCACGUACUGCAUACAGACUUGGUAUAUAUAAAUAUAAGGAAGUUCUAUCUGCCUCCUAUAUAACAUUUACUUAUUCUUGAUCACGAUCGAUGUUGUGCAAUCAAGACUCACCGGCGAGAGCGUUCUUGGUUUUCUUGCCGAUCUCAUGAAUUCCGCAUCAUGCAUCAUGUAUCAACAUACAGCAAAUGUGUACCCAUUAUCUUUUAGUUUCUCAACAUAAUUUUAUA